GGCCCGCACAAGCGGUGGAGUAUGUGGUUUAAUUCGACGCAACGCGCAGAACCUUACCCAGCCUUGACAUCUUCAGAAUCCCUGCGAAAUCAGGGAGUGCCUCCUUACGGAGGAAUUGAAUGACAGGUGCUGCAUGGCUGUCGUCAGCUCGUGUCGUGAGAUGUUCGGUUAAGUCCGGCAACGAGCGCAACCCCUAUCGUUAGUUGCUACCAGUUCGGCUGGGCACUCUAGCGAGACUCCCGGUGUUAAACCGGCGGAAGAUGGGGAUGACGUCAAGUCCUCAUGGCCCUUAUGGCUGGGGCUACACACGUACUACAAUGGCAACUACAGAGGGCAGCGAGACCGCAAGGUGGAGCCAAUCCCAAAAGUUGCUCAGUUCGGAUUGGAGUCUGCAACUCGACUCCAUGAAGUUGGAAUCGCUAGUAAUCGCAGGUC
RNAcentral lists this ribosomal RNA (435 nucleotides) under uncultured bacterium. Its description in RNAcentral is "bacterial SSU rRNA". It matches the Rfam family "Bacterial small subunit ribosomal RNA", at positions 918 to 1350 of the family's 1533-position model. The record is from RNAcentral.